UCAUGGAUCUUUCCAGACCCGGGUGCAGACUCUGGAGGGAACUGGUCCUUGUGGGGGUGCUGGAGACACAGAAGUGAGUCAACAAGGAGGAUGGAGAUGGAGAGGACAGAACGGAGAUCAGCAUGCCAGAAAUGGGGACGAGCACGUGCAAAAGCCUGAAGUCAGGAGACAGUGUGGGCACACGGGUUCGAGCCCUGGUCUGGGAAGAUCCCACAUGCCGUGGAGCAACUAGGCCCGUGAGCCACAACUACUGAGCCUGCGCGUCUGGAGCCUGUGCUCUGCAACAAGAGAGGCCGCGAUAGUGAGAGGCGCGCGCACCGCGAUGAAGAGUGGCCCCCGCUUCCCGCAACUAGAGAAAGCCCU
Long non-coding RNA from Eubalaena glacialis (North Atlantic right whale), 363 nucleotides. RefSeq lists it as uncharacterized. The transcript is spliced from 3 exons. The record is from RefSeq and is a predicted model, not a curated record. NCBI's taxonomy places the organism in Eukaryota, Metazoa, Chordata, Mammalia, Artiodactyla, Balaenidae.